GUCGCGCAAGCGCCGUAGGCAGGAGCGGGGGACCCAAGGUAAGUGCCGCACCGGGCAGUUGAACCGGAGCGGCUUGGGGUGAAGCCGUGUCUCGCACGAGGGAUCGCGAGGGACACGGCAGGGCAACUCAACCGGCCCGAACCCGACAGCUCACCUCGCAGGCGUCGGUGAGGGGAUCA
Molecule: small RNA, 179 nt
Filed under: Actinobacteria bacterium OK074
Lineage: Bacteria; Bacillati; Actinomycetota; Actinomycetes
Also listed under: 1 other name
Description: c-di-AMP riboswitch aptamer (ydaO/yuaA leader)
Rfam family: c-di-AMP riboswitch aptamer (ydaO/yuaA leader)
About the family: This family represents a conserved RNA structure found upstream of the ydaO and yuaA genes in Bacillus subtilis and related genes in other bacteria. The ydaO/yuaA element is thought to act as a genetic "off" switch for the ydaO and yuaA genes in its native state. It is believed that the element may be triggered during osmotic shock leading to activation of ydaO, a predicted amino acid transporter gene, and members of the yuaA-yubG operon which code for KtrA and KtrB K+ transporters.
Source: Rfam by way of RNAcentral